RNAcentral lists this ribosomal RNA (428 nucleotides) under Bacteroidota bacterium. Its description in RNAcentral is "Bacteroidetes bacterium partial 16S ribosomal RNA". It matches the Rfam family "Bacterial small subunit ribosomal RNA", at positions 355 to 776 of the family's 1533-position model. The record is from RNAcentral. Lineage: Bacteria; Pseudomonadati; Bacteroidota.
UAGGGAAUCUUCCGCAAUGGACGCAAGUCUGACGGAGCAACGCCGCGUGAGUGAAGAAGGAUUUCGGUUCGUAAAACUCUGUUGUUAGAGAAGAACAGCGCAUAGAGUAACUGUUAUGCGUGUGACGGUAUCUAACCAGAAAGCCACGGCUAACUACGUGCCAGCAGCCGCGGUAAUACGUAGGUGGCAAGCGUUGUCCGGAUUUAUUGGGCGUAAAGCGAGCGCAGGCGGUCAAUUAAGUCUGAAGUGAAAGGCAGUGGCUCAACCAUUGUAGGCUUUGGAAACUGUUUAACUUGAGUGCAGAAGGGGAGAGUGGAAUUCCAUGUGUAGCGGUGAAAUGCGUAGAUAUAUGGAGGAACACCGGUGGCGAAAGCGGCUCUCUGGUCUGUAACUGACGCUGAGGCUCGAAAGCGUGGGUAGCAAACAGG